UACGUAGGGUGCAAGCGUUGAUCGGAAUUACUGGGCGUAAAGCGCGCGUAGGUGGCUUGAUAAGCUGGGUGUGAAAGCCCCGGGCUCAACCUGGGGAGUGCAUCCGGAACUGUCUGGCUAGAGUGCGGGAGAGGAAGGUAGAAUUCCCGGUGUAGCGGUGAAAUGCGUAGAGAUCGGGAGGAAUACCAGUGGCGAAGGCGGCCUUCUGGACUGAUACUGACACUGAGGUGCGAAAGCGUGGGUAGCAAACAGG
RNAcentral lists this unclassified non-coding RNA (253 nucleotides) under uncultured Halomonadaceae bacterium. RNAcentral's name for it is "contains 16S-23S intergenic spacer region". It matches the Rfam family "Bacterial small subunit ribosomal RNA", at positions 524 to 776 of the family's 1533-position model. The record is from RNAcentral. Lineage: Bacteria; Pseudomonadati; Pseudomonadota; Gammaproteobacteria; Oceanospirillales; Halomonadaceae.